CUUAGCCCACAUUUACACACUGAAGGCGAGAGUGAAAACACACGGAACUUUGUAACCAGCCGUGAAAUAUUUAUUUUAAGAAACUUAAAAAAGGUAGAAAUAUAUAAAAUAGUGAAACCUAUUGCUGAGAAGCUUUGACACGAGAAGUAACAAGAAGAAAAUAUAUAAAAGUUGAAGAAGUACCUGGAUUUUGUGGGAAAGGAAUCUGCUGAAAAAGAAAAUCAUUCCAAUUUUUUGACUGGUUUAUAUUUUAGAGCAGAGUUUGAAAGAAAUCUGUUGAGAAAACCGGACCGCAAUUUUUACUACUGGUUGAUACAACAAAGAGAGAAUUAUUAACGAAUUUGCUCACAAUUGCAAAUAUUUGUCUGGUUUUAUUUACUAGGAGAGAGAGAAAAACUUACUAAAAAUCAGUGAACAAGAGCAAAGCGACAACUUUCUGUCCUACCAGGCAUCACAGUUUGAAAAAGCUUGGGCCAGAUUUCAAGAAGACAUAGCGACCGAGCAAGAAACCCGGCGCAAGAUUAGAUUCAUUUCCGGAGACAGCGGAAUUUCAUCUCCCGCGAUUUCGUCAAUUUCUUCGCCCGAGAUUUCGUCAACCACCGAAAUUUCAGCUUACCCAUUCUCACCAAUUUUCGAAGAAGACGAUUCAAUGGAGCUCAACUGGUUGUCACAAGAGGGGUUCAACUUUGAUCAGCUUGACGCCGUCUCUAACGACGUGGCGUCACCCGCUGAGGGGACUACUGGCGUUGAAGGCUCCACCGUCCCAUCCCCACGGGACGCUACUUUCUCACACCAAUACGUCGGAGAUCUCGACUUUCUCCCGGACGAUAUGGAUUUCAACGACAUUUUCAACGAGGACAUGAAGAAGCCUUUGAUGCACAAUGACGGCAGCGACAUGCUCUCCGGCACCACUUUGAACAAGCACUUUGAAAACUUGCCGGAUAUCAGUCUCUCCUCGAUUCUGAAUUCAUCCUCCUCCACCGUCACCUCGGCGAUGGAGCCGAAUCGCGUCUUUGUCGUCAACACAGCGACGAAACAAAUUUCCGCAGAAGGGCAAGAAGCCGUGGCGGCGCAGUACAACACACGAUCCACCCACCAGCGCAAAGCCGCCCCAGGAAAGCGAGUCGUCGCCCAGUCGCCAUACCAGUCCCAGCAAGAAGCCGUCAAAGAGGAAGAGGAAGAAGAGGACGUUAAACCAAACGUGUCCCAAUUGGCGUCCACCUACGGAUUGCGCAGGAAGCGAAACCUGUCCACCAUUUCAACCGACGAUGCCCCCACAUCCUCCCGAAAUUCCAAGAAACCACGAAAAUAUGAAAUUGAAGACGUCAACGAUCCCUCCGUACGAAACGCCAAGGCCGCCAAGCUCAACCGCGACCGAAAGAAGAGGGAAUUUAACGAGAUGAAGAAACGUGCUGAAGCCGCCGAAGCAACCGUGGCAUCUCUUCGAGUAGAAAAUGACUCCUUGAAAACCUCCCUCGCCUCCGUUUCGGGACAAUUGAACGAUCUGAAAGUAAAGAACCGAACCGUGACGGGGUUGAAUUGUCAAAUGUCCACGAUGAAGAAUGUCUUUGAAGCCAUUUUGCCCGCGAUGAGUCAAAAGUUUGGGAGGCAGAUGGCCGUCGAGGUGCCAGAUUCGUUCGCCCAGAUCCCUGCCGCUUUGGACGAACGGGGAGAAUUGAUCGGGGGAGGAGCAGGGGGCCUGAAUCCAGACGGGUUUAACAUUUUGGACGAGAGUUUCCAAAUGGGAGUGGGAGAGCAGACCGACAUGGCUGAACAGUCAUCCCAGCCCAUGAACAGCAACUAUUUCACCCUCCACAUCAACCCACAGGGGGGCAAGAUCCGGCUGGAUUACGAUCCGAGUAAGCUUAUCAAAGAAUUGAGGGAUGAUAAUAAUGAUGACAAUGAUGACAUGGAGGAUAAUUAAGUCGUCGAUUUAAAUAUUACUUAUUAUGAUAAUUCACUUUACUAACUAACUUAAAAAUAAGUUACUAAUUAUUCGCUAGUAUAUUAAUUACCUAAUUACAGAAGAUUUACAAAAGUAGGAUAUAAUUAUUACGACUGAACAUUUUUUAUUUUCAAAUCUUCUGAAAUUAGGUAGAAAAAUGGGAUGAAUGUGUUUGUGGCACAUGUUUUUUUUAAAAGAAUUGUGUAAAAUUAUGUGAUCGUAUUGUAAGGAUUUUUUAUGGUAAAAUUGAAUCUUCCUUAGAAUACGAUUACUUUUUUCUAUCUUAAUUUUGAAUGUGUGAUUGUGCCCGGAUUUUUGUCGUUGGAAUUGGUUUCGAUGUUUUUUUCGCACUGUGGUCAGGUCAUCACCGGAGGGAUGAUGAGUACUUUGAUGUGACGAGAUGACGACGAUUUCCCCCUUAGAAUUUGGCUAAAGAAUUCAAUUUUGGAAAAACAAAGGAAUUAAUCAAACCUAAAAACGGAUUGACCGAGCGGAAAUGAAAUCUUGAUCUGAUAUUAGCUAGCUCUCAUCUAUAAAUACACUUAUCCAAGCAAUUCUUCCAUCCACGCCUUCCUCAUCCAUCGGGGGUGAUGAUGAGGGGAGGUCUUCCAAGUACAAGUCAAGUUUCAAAUCCACACCAUCAAUGACAACUUUUUCAAGAAAAAAAAAUCGCCUCUAAAGAGAAGCUGCGUCUUCAUCGGGUGCGGCAAUGAUGCUUUUUUUCUUUAAAGUUAGUCACGUCCGAGUCUUCGCAGUGGACAAGACAGUUAAUUGUUACCUAGUUGACUAAACUAUUGGGGUGCGGCGUUUUUUAAUGAUGUUGGUCCGAUUUACCCUUGGGGUUAAAAAAUCUGUUUGUUAAAGGGGUUAAAUUUUCCUGAGAUAAAUUGUUAAGAAACAAUAAUUAGUGGGGAGGCGAUUACGUACGGGAAGAAGUUCAGAUGGUCAUCGUCCUCCGUCCUGUUUCUGUAGGGGUGACCCGUCCCCUUGAAGCGAUGAUGAUGAUGCCCGGACCCUUUCUUCCAUUAGAGAAACUUAUUUUGACCCUUCAUAUCCUCCUCCCUCGAUACACACCUUAACUUGCGCCACUUACUAUAGAGGCACUAGUUUAUAAGUCUGUUUCUUUUUCCUGUAUUUAAAAAACGAGUUUCUCUUUCUCAAAAGGGGUGAAAAUGGCUUCCAGUAAAAUCUGGAUGACAAAAAGUGUGGUGCUCUCUUCUUCUCCUUGGUGCGUGACCUUCUUCGUCCUGAUGACCGUAAAGAUUUUUUCUGUCCGGGGAAGACACACCUGUUCUGAUACAAAAGUUAAGCCUCCUCGACCAGAGAGAACAUGAAAACCAGACCAGGCGGAGAAGGAAUCUAUUAAGAGAGACAGAGAGAGAUCAAGAUAACCUACUUAUCCACACACACAAACAAACACCACCAUUACAAUUACUCGUUAUUUAUCUUAUCUUCUCGUCAUUUUUUCUAUUUAUUGUAUUAUCAAAUAUCUAUUUUCUACCCCGAUUUGUACGGCCAGACUUGACUUGGAAGAGUGUAAAAUAGAGCAGCGAAAAAUAUCUAGGCUAAGAAAAUUAUGGAUGGAUUAGGUUUUGUAAAUUGUAGAAUUUAGCAGGUCGUGGAUUCUGUUGUAAUUUUUUUGGAGUGUCCCGACCUUUGACCUGACUACAGGGUGAUAUUGAUAUUGAUUCCAUCUGGUAGACUUUAUAAGUUGAAAUACUUUGUAGUUUGUAUGAAAAAAGCAUGUGUGCACUUUUUGAUGAAUGAUUCCGGUUUAUUGAGUACGAAACGUUAAACAACAAGAAAUAUGUAUGUAGAUAAAAGAUUUAUUUAAUGGAUACGUGACCUAUCGUUGCGGGAAAUAUGUACAUAAGAUCUUAGAUUGAUAAGUAUGGAGGAGAAAAACGAACCUUUUUUCGUUGCGGGAAACUAGUUGAUAAUCAAUUAUUAUUAAGAAGCCAGUUAAAUAUUUUGUGUUUUUUGAGCACGUUGGAUUGUUUUGUUUUACUUGUUAAAUGAAAAAUGUAAAAAAAAAAUUAUGAAAAGAUGCCCAAAGAUUAUAUAAUCUUGUUUAAAAGGGCCAACUAAUUAAGA
Folsomia candida is the source of this 4039-nucleotide RNA transcript. RefSeq lists it as uncharacterized. The record is from RefSeq and is a predicted model, not a curated record. NCBI's taxonomy places the organism in Eukaryota, Metazoa, Arthropoda, Collembola, Entomobryomorpha, Isotomidae. The transcript has 7 exons.